GAGUAGCUACGUCGGGAAGGGAUAAGCACUGAAAGCAUAUAAGUGCGAAACCCAUCACAAGAUGAGAUUUCUUUUAAGGGUCGUAGGAGACGACUACGUUGAUAGGUCACAGGUGUAAAGGCAGUAAUGUCAUAGCCGAGUGAUACUAAUUACCCGUAAGCCUAUCGUA
Molecule: ribosomal RNA, 169 nt
Filed under: Flavobacteriaceae bacterium
Lineage: Bacteria; Pseudomonadati; Bacteroidota; Flavobacteriia; Flavobacteriales; Flavobacteriaceae
Description: partial 23S ribosomal RNA
Rfam family: Bacterial large subunit ribosomal RNA
Source: RNAcentral